RNAcentral lists this ribosomal RNA (492 nucleotides) under uncultured bacterium. RNAcentral's name for it is "partial 16S ribosomal RNA". It matches the Rfam family "Bacterial small subunit ribosomal RNA", at positions 29 to 507 of the family's 1533-position model. The record is from RNAcentral.
AGUGAACGCUGGCGGUAGGCCUAACACAUGCAAGUCGAACGGCAGCACAGUAAGAGCUUGCUCUUACGGGUGGCGAGUGGCGGACGGGUGAGGAAUACAUCGGAAUCUACUUUUUCGUGGGGGAGAACGUAGGGAAACUUACGCUAAUAGCGCAUACGACCUACGGGUGAAAGCAGGGGAUCUUCGGACCUUGCGCGAGUGAAUGAGCCGAUGUCGGAUUAGCUAGUUGGCGGGGUAAAGGCCCACCAAGGCGACGAUCCGUAGCUGGUCUGAGAGGAUGAUCAGCCACACUGGAACUGAGACACGGUCCAGACUCCUACGGGAGGCAGCAGUGGGGAAUAUUGGACAAUGGGCGCAAGCCUGAUCCAGCCAUGCCGCGUGUGUGAAGAAGGCCUUCGGGUUGUAAAGCCCUUUUGUUGGGAAAGAAAAGCAGCAGGUUAAUACCCCGCUGUUCUGACGGUACCCAAAGAAUAAGCACCGGCUAACUUCGUG